This 967-nucleotide long non-coding RNA is filed under the name Ananas comosus (pineapple). RNAcentral describes it as "long non-coding RNA (ACOM_LNC025366)". The record is from RNAcentral. Lineage: Eukaryota; Viridiplantae; Streptophyta; Magnoliopsida; Poales; Bromeliaceae.
AUAUAUAACUCAUCUGAAUUAUCAUUCAUUUUAAAUCAACUAUAAAUUUUUAAAUAUCUUAAUUUACUAUUUUAUUUUUUUAUUUAAUUUGAAUCAGUGAGCAGUAUUUUGAACGAAAACUUUGAAUACUUUUUUAUUUAUACUAGUUGAGUGUACGUGCAAAUAUACGUAAUAAUUAUUUUAAUUUAUUUUAAAUUAAUAUAAAUUUACACAUUAUAUUUAUUUACAAUUUUAUUAUUUAUAAAUUCAUAUAUUAUACUUUAUUAAAAAUAUUUGUAAUAUUCUAUAUUUUUUUAAUUUAUAUAUAUUAAAUAUUUUUAUAUAUUUUUUGAUUUCUGAUGAUCUAAAAUUUAAAUAUGUGUUUUAAACAAAAAGCAUCAAAAUUUAAUUCAUAUUUAUUUCAAAAUUUAAAAUUUAAUUUUGAUCCGCUAUAAUUAAAAUUUUUGGAUAAGAAUGCUAUUUUUUAACAGAUUAAUCAUAAUCGUUCGUUAUUAUUUGAGAUUUUUUUAAUUAAGUGAAUCAUUUAUUUUUAAUUGACACAACCUUCCGUAGGAUUGAAUUUAUAGAUGGAUAAAAAAUGCUAUUUUUUAACAGAUUAAUCAUAACCGUUCAUUCUUAUUUGAGAUUUUUUUAAUUAAGUUAUCAUAUCCGCAGGAAAUAUAGGGAAUAUUUUUUUAUUCCUUUUUAGAUUUCGUCGGUUAUUGUUGAAAUUCUUAUACGCUUUUAUAUAUAUAAUAUAGAUUUAUAGGUUUAGAUGUUAUACUUCAUACAAUUCUCACAACAAUAAAUUUACUAAACUAAAUAAUUAAUUUAAAAUUUGAAGUCAAAAUAUUAUUGACCGGCUCAAAUCAAAUAAACAGAAUGAUUGAACGGUGAUUUAGUAAGAGAAAAAAUUUACAGCUAAUCAACUCAAAAUGGUUUAUAAAUCUGAAAAGUUCAAUAUAGUUUUUACUUAUUUAAAAUAUUU